GAUGAACGCUAGCGGCAGGCUUAAUACAUGCAAGUCGAACGGUAACAUGAGUAGCAAUACUUGAUGACGAGUGGCGCACGGGUGCGUAACGCGUAUGCAAUCUACCUUUAACUGGUGAAUAGCCCGAAGAAAUUCGGAUUAAUACACCAUAGUAUAUUAGAGUGGCAUCACUUUAAUAUUAAAACUCCGGUGGUUAAAGAUUAGCAUGCGUGACAUUAGCUAGUUGGUGAGGUAAUGGCUCACCAAGGCUACGAUGUCUAGGGGAUCUGAGAGGAUUAACCCCCACACU
This 289-nucleotide ribosomal RNA is filed under the name uncultured bacterium. RNAcentral describes it as "partial 16S ribosomal RNA". It matches the Rfam family "Bacterial small subunit ribosomal RNA", at positions 28 to 314 of the family's 1533-position model. The record is from RNAcentral.